Molecule: ribosomal RNA, 403 nt
Filed under: uncultured bacterium
Lineage: Bacteria
Description: partial 16S ribosomal RNA
Rfam family: Bacterial small subunit ribosomal RNA
Source: RNAcentral
GACGAACGCUGGCGGCGUGCCUAAUACAUGCAAGUCGAACGCAGUGGGGACGGGUGAGUAACACGUGGGUAACCUCCCAUCAGAGGGGAUAACACUUGGACACAGGUGCUAAACCGAUACUGAUGGAUGGACCCGCGGUGCCUUAGCGAGUUGGUGUGGUAACGGCUCACCAAGGCCACGAUGCAUAGCCGACCUGAGAGGAUGAUCGGCCAACCUGGGACGUAGAAACGGCCCAGACCACUACGGGAGGAAGCAGUAGGGAAUCUUCGGCAAUGGACGAAAGUCGGACCGAGCAACGCCGCGUGAGUGAAGAAGGUUUUCGGAUCGUAGAACUCUGUUGUUAGGGAGGCGGUAUCUAACCAGAAAGCCACGGCUAACGACGUGCCAGCAGCCGCGGUAAUAC